This is a long non-coding RNA of Numida meleagris (helmeted guineafowl), 1648 nucleotides long. The record is from Ensembl. Lineage: Eukaryota; Metazoa; Chordata; Aves; Galliformes; Numididae.
GAAAUAAAGAGAAAAAGAAAUGAUGGUGUAUAACAUAGAAAGACCUGAUUCCUGGCAGGAGUCUUCAGAUGAUGAUGUGAAAUGAACUGGAAUGGAGAUACACAGCUCUAGUGCUUAUAUAUAUAUAUACUUAUAGCAGUGCCAGGGGACAGCAGGCUGUCAUAGUCCAGGAGCACCUCGCAAAAGAAGAGGGGAAGGGUACUAUUGAGACAUGUCAGUAAAGCACAGAUUAGGAGAUAAGCAUGAUUUUUGUAUUAUGUAUGCAGUGCUGAAGCUGUACAGCUAGCAGAAGUGUGGCUAGCAGAAAUGAAAAACAUGCCAAGACUCCACUCACUUUGUUUUCCUCUGAAAUUUCUGGCACUGAAAAGAGUCAAAAUUCAGCACUUUUCCUCCAUGUUUUUGUUUGUUUGUUUUUUUGUUUAAUUAAUGUAUUUAUUACAAAACUCUUUAUCUUCUAUAUAUUUGCUUUUUUAUAGGGGCUUUUCUCAGCAUGCAGUCCCUUUAGAUUUGGGUGCGAUAACCAACCACAUCCUGCACAUUGGACUUUUGGCUUGCAUUCUUCUAUCAUCCUGCAUUGUGUCAAUCUAUAUUGGUCGUUUGUCCAUCAGAGCAGCAAAGCUAUGUAACCGUGGAGUAAUAGCAGGGUGAAAAUUCAGCCAGAUUGGAAAGACAGAGUAUGUGUGGCCUGGGACAGCAGUGGGAUUGGACUCGGUGACUCCUGAAGGCUCCUCAAGUUGCGCAUCCAUGUCUUGGAAUUACAGAAGUGCCUCUGAGAAGGUUGUCUGAAUCCACCUGCAUCACAAAUACUGAGUCUUCCUGCAGACAGGUCCCAGUUCUCCUGUGGCAGGAGAUCAUUCAAGAAGCACAACAAAGCACAAGAGGAGCAAAGUCUCCUGUUUUCAGAGCAAGAGUUCCUUUCCAUUUCCAGUCAUUCAGCAGUAGUGCUUUAAAUUAUGUCUUCAGCUUAAGGAAAAAACACCUUUCCAGGAGUAGAACAGGGAAAAGUAGGGACCAAUACAGAAGUUGAAUCCCUUGAUCAGUUUACAGGUCUCAGAAGACAAUGAGUUUACUGAGGUUAGCCACUUCCAAUUUUCUCAUUAUACUUUUAAGUCAGUAACAAACUUCAUAAUCAUUUUUCUGGGACCAGGUUUGGCCUUGAUGUUACUCUGCAUAGUUUUCAGAAAUGCACAAACCCAUUCACAAUGGAAGAAAGUGAAGCCAACAUCUGGCUUUACUGGAGGUUAUUCCUUUGGGAGGACUAGAUCUCAGAAGAGAGACAAAUGGUUGCACUACUUACCUCCUCGUUUCAGAAGGAGCAGGAACCUGAUCCAAGGUGGUAGCUGUUGUGCACAGGAUAGAGCUGCUCUUUGAAGCCAGAAGGCCUGGUUUGCCUCGUGGCAGGGGUUUGUGCUCUUCCAGGGCUGUGUAGCUGCAUUCAGUCCAGAACUGCACUUCCCCCUGACAGUCACCAGCUGAGCUGCUCUGUCUGAUUUCUAGCUCUUUCUGAAGUGCUGGGAUUGCACCAGGGAACUUCAUCAGGAAUCAGCGUUGGAUCUGUUUUAUUUCUGUACGCUUGUUGUGCCUUUCCUAUGAAUGCUGUUCAGAUGUUUGGAGACAAUAUGGUCAUGCUCCCAUAGGACACAGCUGU